AUACGGAGGAUCCGAGCGUUAUCCGGAUUUAUUGGGUUUAAAGGGAGCGUAGAUGGGUUGUUAAGUCAGUUGUGAAAGUUUGCGGCUCAACCGUAAAAUUGCAAUUGAUACUGGCAGCCUUGAGUACAGUUGAGGUAGGCGGAAUUCGUGGUGUAGCGGUGAAAUGCUUAGAUAUCACGAAGAACUCCGAUUGCGAAGGCAGCCUACUAAACUGCCACUGACAUUGAUGCUCGAAAGUGUGGGUAUCAAACAGGAUUAGAUACCCUGGUAGUCCACACGGUAAACGAUGAAUACUCGCUGUUUGCGAUAUACAGCAAGCGGCCAAGCGAAAGCGUUAAGUAUUCCACCUGGGGAGUACGCCGGCAACGGUGAAACUCAAAGGAAUUGACGGGG
This 393-nucleotide ribosomal RNA is filed under the name uncultured bacterium. Its description in RNAcentral is "partial 16S ribosomal RNA". It matches the Rfam family "Bacterial small subunit ribosomal RNA", at positions 523 to 918 of the family's 1533-position model. The record is from RNAcentral.